This 350-nucleotide ribosomal RNA is filed under the name uncultured bacterium. Its description in RNAcentral is "bacterial SSU rRNA". It matches the Rfam family "Bacterial small subunit ribosomal RNA", at positions 32 to 364 of the family's 1533-position model. The record is from RNAcentral.
AAUCAACGCUGGCGGCGUGCCUCAGACAUGCAAGUCGAACGCGAAAGUCCCCUUCGGGGGGCAAGUAGAGUGGCGCACGGGUGAGUAACACGUAGGUAAUCUACCUUUGGAUGGGGAAUAACAACCGGAAACGGUUGCUAAUACCGCAUAAUGCAGCGGCACCUAAUGGUGACAGUUGUUAAAGCGGGGAUCGAAAGACCUCGCGUCUGAAGAGGAGCCUGCGGCGGAUUAGCUAGNGGUAAGGUAACGGCUUACCAAGGCAACGAUCCGUAGCCGGCCUGAGAGGGCGGUCGGCCACACUGACACUGACAUACGGGUCAGACUCCUACGGGAGCAGCAGUCGGAAUUUU